AUUGAACGCUGGCGGCAUGCUUUACACAUGCAAGUCGAACGGUAACAGGCCUUCGGGUGCUGACGAGUGGCGAACGGGUGCGUAAUGCAUCGGAACGUACCCAGAGGUGGGGGAUAACGCAGCGAAAGCUGUGCUAAUACCGCAUGUGAUCUGAGGAUGAAAGCGGGGGACCGCGCAGCAAUGUUUGGCCUCGCGCCUUUGUAGCGGCCGAUGUCGGAUUAGCUAGUUGGUGGGGUAAAGGCCUACCAAGGCGACGAUCCGUAGCUGGUCUGAGAGGACGACCAGCCACACUGGGACUGAGACACGGCCCAGACUCCUACGGGAGGCAGCAGUGGGGAAUUUUGGACAAUGGGCGCAAGCCUGAUCCAGCAAUGCCGCGUGAGGGAAGAAGGCCUUCGGGUUGUAAACCGCUUUUGGCAGGAACGAAACGGUGUCCGCUAAUACCGGGCGCUAAUGACGGUACCUGCAGAAUAAGCACCGGCUAACUACGUG
This 492-nucleotide ribosomal RNA is filed under the name uncultured bacterium. RNAcentral's name for it is "partial 16S ribosomal RNA". It matches the Rfam family "Bacterial small subunit ribosomal RNA", at positions 30 to 507 of the family's 1533-position model. The record is from RNAcentral.